Molecule: non-coding RNA, 73 nt
Organism: Phrynosoma platyrhinos (Desert horned lizard)
Lineage: Eukaryota; Metazoa; Chordata; Lepidosauria; Squamata; Phrynosomatidae
Source: the annotation of a GenBank genome assembly
GCCAGUGUAGCAUAGUGGUUUGAGCACUAGACUACUGACUCUGGAGACCAGGGUUCGAUUCCCUGCUUGGCCA